Molecule: long non-coding RNA, 814 nt
Filed under: Canis lupus familiaris (dog)
Lineage: Eukaryota; Metazoa; Chordata; Mammalia; Carnivora; Canidae
Description: lncRNA (ENSCAFG00000055514.1, ENSCAFG00845030722.1)
Source: RNAcentral
AAAAAUAAGACCAGAUGAGUCGGAGGGCCCAAGGCGACGUGGCAGGAGGGACUCUGACCUCAUCCUGGGGGUGAGGGCUGUGGACCAGUUCUGCUCUGGGUACCUUGUGGCCCCCCCAGGGGCUCUUCCCUGGACAGACACCCGAAGCUCCUGCUGCUGAAACCCGAGGAGCUGGCCCCUCGGCCUCCCCGUCCCUACUCAGUCCCCGCAGCCUGGCCUCUGCAUCUUCCAGGUCUGGUUCAGCCUCGUCAGCAGCGGAACGACCCCUGUCCCCAGGGGACCUGCUUUUGCAGGAGGGCAGGCGACAGGUGGGAGCGCCCUGGGGACGCUGCUCCUCACAAUGGCCCGUCUCUCCGCAGCCUCCCUCUGGCCUCUGCCCUCACCCCCCUCACUGUGGGCCUGGGCGCAGGGGGCUGAGGGUGUAGGUCUGGGAAUCAGCCGCACCCCGGUUCCCUCAUCCGUGAGCCAGGGUGGGCACUAGGAGCCUGCGUGUCGUGUGCGUGGCAAGCGCUUGUCCCACGGCCAGGGCAGCACGCGUGUCCUGUGGGUGCAGACGGUCUGCCAUUUCCAGCAGGUUCCUUCCACCUGGCCCUGCUCCUCCCGCUUGGGGCACAGCCCCCCAGGAGGCGUGACAGCGACCUGAGCUAGAGGGCCAGGUGGCCCCGCUCACCACACAACAGCUCGCAAAUGGGUGAAGAGGAAGGCGGGGCACCCCGGGGUGGGGGUGGGGGGGUGCGAAGGCCCCAGGGCUCCUCCUUCCUCUGGCGGGCGGGCGCAGACUUCUACCGUCUGGCACUCUGUGGGGGGUGGGGGG